UGCGUAGGUGGUUUGAUAAGUCAGCGGUGAAAGUUUGCAGCUUAACUGUAAAAAUGCCGUUGAAACUGUCGGACUUGAGUGUAAAUGAGGUAGGCGGAAUGCGUGGUGUAGCGGUGAAAUGCAUAGAUAUCACGCAGAACUCCGAUUGCGAAGGCAGCUUACUAAGCUACAACUGACACUGAAGCACGAAAGCUGGGGAUCAAACA
RNAcentral lists this ribosomal RNA (206 nucleotides) under uncultured bacterium. RNAcentral's name for it is "partial 16S ribosomal RNA". It matches the Rfam family "Bacterial small subunit ribosomal RNA", at positions 568 to 774 of the family's 1533-position model. The record is from RNAcentral.